GGGCAGACACUUAACCUGUGUCUAAAGCACUGCUGGCCGCCGAUUCUACGCCGCCCGGUCGCCAGGGAGAGUGAAUACAGCUAGGGACGUGAAAGGCAGGUCUGGGCUGGGCAUUGAGGAGGGUAUUAAGCUAGGAAGUAUGCCUUACCUUUAUCUAAAUCGGGCGGGUCGUCCUCCCCUCAUUGGCCUUGUGCAGCUCGGAUUCCUCUCUCACCCGCACCCAGGGGUCUUCCCAGAGCAUUGCGUCGUCUCCAGCCCAGGGAGCCGCCUUCUUUCCUAAACUGCUAUAGACACUGUCCUGAUGUCUAAGACAAUGUACUUUGUGCCGCAGGCCUCUGCCUUCCCUAGCCAGAGCGCGAGCUCAGCCGCUUUUGAGAGAAAUCUGCCACCUGGCCUACCUGUGCACAACUUCAGAGCUUUGCAGGGGGUGACAAGGGCUGUGGCUUCAGGGAAAUGUCACGCGCACUGGCACCUUUUUCGCGAAUGUGAAAAUUGAGAAAUCAAGAAGGUUAAUUAUAGGGUUGCCCAGGAUCUGCCAAGAGCAAAGAAGAAAACCCCAUUUCCCAGGCAUGUGUCUUGUGAGCCAUUUUUUAUCAACCCACUUAAGUGGACAAGCUCCAAAACACAACAUGAAGCUGAUGAUAAUUUAGGCAAUUUACGUUUGAAAUCAUCGGCCUCAUCUCAAGGCAGUGUCUUAGAGACACAGGUGGGACCUGAUCCCUCAGGAACAGAUAGCGUUCCAGCUUUGUGGGAUUGACUUUUGAGAUAUGGAGCACUUCGGGGUCAAUUGAAACCCGUCAGGUUUCACAUCUCUGCUUUGGAUAGAAAGCCCAUCACCCACAGCUGUCAGAGAUGUUCCUUGACUCACUGGGGCUCAUCUGUUGAAUUUUUCUAUCUAGAUAAUGGAAACAUCUAGGAGCACUUCUGCUUCCAUGUAAACUCUUAAUAAUUGAUGUCCCUAAAAUUCUGUGUUCUCAGGGACAGUUCCUUUGGUUCCCAGAUGGUACCAGCUUUCAUGUUGUUACAUCUAAUAUGUAAAAACCUGGAUGUUAACCUCCAAGACAUUGUUCACGUCACACAUUCCAGUAUUUUUCAUUUGUGAUUUCUGAAUGUAGGACAAUAUCAAAGAACUGAAAACCUGGUCAUAAAAAUUGGACCCUAUUACUGCACUUAGUGAAUAAUUUACCCCUUAGGGUUAAUUACACCUGAGUUCAUCAGCACCUGUGUAAAGAAAGAAAAAAAAAUUGUGGCAUCUGCCAGGCGCAGUGGCUCAAGCCUGUAAUCCCAGCACUUUGGGAGGCCGAGGCAGGUAGAUUACCUGAGGUCAGGAGUUCAAGACCAGCCUAGUCAACAUGGCGAAACCCCAUCUCUACUAAAAAUACAAAAA
Molecule: long non-coding RNA, 1387 nt
Filed under: Homo sapiens (human)
Lineage: Eukaryota; Metazoa; Chordata; Mammalia; Primates; Hominidae
Description: HSALNT0396508
Source: RNAcentral